GGUGUAGCUCAGUGGUAGAGCCCUUGCCUAGCAUGCUUGAGGUCCUGGGUUCCAUCCUCAGCAUCA
This 66-nucleotide transfer RNA is filed under the name Marmota monax (woodchuck). RNAcentral's name for it is "tRNA.Ala". It matches the Rfam family "tRNA". Rfam says of the family: Transfer RNA (tRNA) molecules are approximately 80 nucleotides in length. Their secondary structure includes four short double-helical elements and three loops (D, anti-codon, and T loops). The record is from RNAcentral. Lineage: Eukaryota; Metazoa; Chordata; Mammalia; Rodentia; Sciuridae.